AAUGAGGUGCCUGAUUAAAGGGUUAUCUUGAUAGGAUAAAUUAAGUAAAUUAAAUUUACCCUCAUUA
RNAcentral lists this transfer RNA (67 nucleotides) under Calineuria stigmatica. RNAcentral describes it as "tRNA-Ile". Lineage: Eukaryota; Metazoa; Arthropoda; Insecta; Plecoptera; Perlidae. The record is from RNAcentral.